GAUGAACGCUAGCGGCAGGCUUAACACAUGCAAGUCGAGGGGUAGAAGGAGCUUGCUCCUUUGAGACCGGCGCACGGGUGCGUAACGCGUAUGCAAUCUACCUUUUGCAGAGGGAUAGCCCAGAGAAAUUUGGAUUAAUACCUCAUAGUAUGUGAGGAUGGCAUCAUUUUCACAUUAAAGUCACAACGGCAAAAGAUGAGCAUGCGUCCCAUUAGCUAGUUGGUAAGGUAACGGCUUACCAAGGCUACGAUGGGUAGGGGUCCUGAGAGGGAGAUCCCCCACACUGGUACUGAGACACGGACCAGACUCCUACGGGAGGCAGCAGUGAGGAAUAUUGGACAAAUGGGCGCAAGCCUGAUCCAGCCAUGCCGCGUGCAGGAUGACGGUCCUAUGGAUUGUAAACUGCUUUUGUACAGGAAGAAC
This 423-nucleotide ribosomal RNA is filed under the name uncultured bacterium. RNAcentral's name for it is "bacterial SSU rRNA". It matches the Rfam family "Bacterial small subunit ribosomal RNA", at positions 28 to 450 of the family's 1533-position model. The record is from RNAcentral.